Molecule: long non-coding RNA, 1318 nt
Filed under: Sus scrofa (pig)
Lineage: Eukaryota; Metazoa; Chordata; Mammalia; Artiodactyla; Suidae
Description: lncRNA (ENSSSCG00015058114.1)
Source: RNAcentral
GGAAGGUAAUUUGCUUUUUAACACUUUCUCCCUGACUGAGUGUAAGUAUCGUGGUUUUUAGCAAGGUUUUUUUUUUGGGGGGGGGGAUGGGCUUGAGAGCUAUACAAACAAAUCCUUUAUGAUCUUUUACAUUUAUUCUUUUCCUCCAGGAAUGUGCUGAGGUUUCCAGAUAGUCGUGUGAUGAUGACCAAAUUGGAUGGCGAAUGGGAACUUCUCAACAGCAGGUACUGGCCAGCCAGCAGGACAUGGGCUUGUCCCAUGGCAGCAGAAUGUUGCUCUGUAGGCCAAUAGCAAGGCUGGGAAAUGGCCUGAUCUGAACAGGAGCCAGUGCUGACUGCACCGCGCGCUGCCAUCCCCAGGCAAGCCCUGCCCUCACUGCUGAACUUGCAGAGCUGCUCAGACAAAGGCUCCCUGUUGACUCUGGGCAUAGACCUCCCACAACUACAAGAUAAAACAGAGGGAGAUGAACACAUGUUGGAAGCUAAGCAAAUAACUUGGGGGAUAAUACCUUUAAAUGCUUAUAUAUAUAUAGAUCCUGACCUUUUAAACUUCAAUUUUGAGUUCAAUUAGCAGGAAGUCUGCCAAAUAACUUGUACAGGGAGAGGGACCGGGGAACCUCAGAGCCACACUGACUGCGGAGGGUGCUAUGGAUGAGUGAAACUGAAAUCAUGGUUUCUUCCUCUACUCCCAGCCUUCUUGGUGACCUGCUACAAAUCUGAAGCAAGAAGUUUUGUCAUAACAACAAUCGAAGAGAUACAGUGGGCCUGACACUGUUUUUUAUGAGUUGUCAUCUUUAUACCUUUGAAUUGGAAAUGAAUCUAUAACCUAUUAGGCUAACAGAAAAUUGUUACAGGUUUAUGUUAAGAUAACAAAAAGCAAGCAUUUUGGAGUUAUCAGAUAAGAAGGGCUAAGUAUCUAUAAAAUAUCGUCAAUAUAAUGUUGAAUUACGCAGUAGAUUAUUUUUAUUAUCUUUACAAUGACCUUAUAUUUAUUCCAAAAAAGGAAAUAUAAAAGAAAGAAAGAAGAAAGGGAAAAGUUUCCAGUUACUAUCAUCUUAUAUAUCUGAAGUUGAAUUACUGGAAUGUUAAAUAUAAUUACAUUGCUAUGUAAGCGAACUUAACUUCAAUGUACCUGCAUUUUCCCUGGGGAGAAUGGUAUUUAGACCAUCACACAAUAACCAGCUAGUUCAAGUCUGUUUUGGAAACCAGCAAAUAGCACAAAGAAGUGCUGGGUCAGAGAAACAGGACAGGGAAGUAUGAAUGGGAGAGCACUGGUCCACGUGAUACCCUCUCUGCCCCUCCUCCUAGCCCUCUGCUAA